Molecule: long non-coding RNA, 329 nt
Filed under: Homo sapiens (human)
Lineage: Eukaryota; Metazoa; Chordata; Mammalia; Primates; Hominidae
Description: HSALNT0394612
Source: RNAcentral
UGGGACUAGAGGCAUCCACCACCACGCCCAGAGUGAAUAACUGGAUCACAUGUUUUUGAAAGACAAUUUUAUUUGGAAAAGGAAGUCUUAGCUUUACUCCCAACUGCCCCACCAUAGUGCAAGAACUUGUCAGAUAUGCUCUCCCAGCCCUUCUUACUAAGGACAAUGGGUACUUGUCCAAGCCCAUCCACCAUUCUGUCAGUCGCAUCCUAAGAAGAGAUCAGAGAAGAUUCUCUCCUAGACCACGCAAAAUAGACCGAUCAUCUUUGGCACGUGUGGCCAUGACCCACAUGAGGAUUUAUAAGCGACCUAGUCACCGGGACUUCAUG